This 544-nucleotide ribosomal RNA is filed under the name uncultured bacterium. RNAcentral's name for it is "bacterial SSU rRNA". It matches the Rfam family "Bacterial small subunit ribosomal RNA", at positions 777 to 1319 of the family's 1533-position model. The record is from RNAcentral.
AAUAGAUACCCGGGUAGUCCACGCCGUAAACGAUGAGUGCUAAGUGUUAGGGGGUUUCCGCCCCUUAGUGCUGCAGCUAACGCAUUAAGCACUCCGCCUGGGGAGUACGGUCGCAAGACUGAAACUCAAAGGAAUUGACGGGGGGCCCGCACAAGCGGUGGAGCAUGUGGUUUAAUUCGAAGCAACGCGAAGAACCUUACCAGGUCUUGACAUCCCAUUGACCGCUAUGGAGACAUAGCUUUCCCUUCGGGGACAGUGGUGACAGGUGGUGCAUGGUUGUCGUCAGCUCGUGUCGUGAGAUGUUGGGUUAAGUCCCGCAACGAGCGCAACCCUUGUUCUUAGUUGCCAUCAUUUAGUUGGGCACUCUAAGGAGACUGCCGGUGACAAACCGGAGGAAGGUGGGGAUGACGUCAAAUCAUCAUGCCCCUUAUGACCUGGGCUACACACGUGCUACAAUGGACGGUACAAACGGUUGCCAACCCGCGAGGGGAGCUAAUCCGAUAAAACCGUUCUCAGUUCGGAUUGUAGGCUGCAACUCGCCUAC